This 253-nucleotide ribosomal RNA is filed under the name uncultured bacterium. RNAcentral describes it as "partial 16S ribosomal RNA". It matches the Rfam family "Bacterial small subunit ribosomal RNA", at positions 524 to 776 of the family's 1533-position model. The record is from RNAcentral.
GACGGGGGAUGCAAGCGUUAUCCGGACUCACUGGGCGUAAAGCGUCUGUCGGUGGUGAUGCAAGUCACUGGUGCAAAACUCUGGCUCAACCGGAGGAAAGCCAGUGAAACUGCAUGACUAGAGUGUGGGAGAGGUAGAAGGAAUUCCCUGAGUAGCGGUGAAAUGCGUAGAUACAGGGAAGAACACCGGAGGCGAAAGCGCUCUACUGGAACACAACUGACACUGAGAGACGAAAGCUAGGGGAGCGAAUGGG